Long non-coding RNA from Triticum dicoccoides, 1280 nucleotides. RefSeq lists it as uncharacterized. The record is from RefSeq and is a predicted model, not a curated record. The transcript has 5 exons. NCBI's taxonomy places the organism in Eukaryota, Viridiplantae, Streptophyta, Magnoliopsida, Poales, Poaceae.
UCAAAAAAAAUCCACCCAAGCCCCGGCCUCCUUCCACGUUUAUCCCCUCCACCGCCGGCCUCCUUCCACCUCCUCUCCUCUCCCAAUCCAGAGUGUGUGCAGCCCCGUGCGCUGCAACCGGCUGGCCAAGCCUCCUCGCGACAGCUGCCACCACUACCGCCACCCUCGCCCCUCCCCUCACCAGAAGACAACGAGAAGAGAAUAGGUCAGGCGGUGGCUCCCAGUCCUAGAUCCGCCAUGUCCAUGGCCGAGGGCUUCGACCUGGAGCUCCACAUCCAUGGUCGAGGGCUAGGACCUGGAGCUCCACCUCCGUGGCGUCGGCUGCAUCUCUCCAAUCGUGAGCUCGCGCGCCUGAACAGGACCUCCGUCCGUCAAUCUGCUUCCGCUCCUCUCGGCCGACGACGCCAUGGCUGCCAAGACGCAGGCGCACACACACAGCAGCGUUGCUGACUUGUUGCAUGAGGCAGCCGGCGAGGUGAGGUGAGGCAGGAGAGGACUACCCCAAGCGCCUACAAGCUCCACCGCCUUGUAGAUGUUUUUGUCCGAGUGAUGGGUGAUGUGUGUUUCCUGAGCUGAAGGACAAUGAAAAGAAGAUUAAAGCUAUUAUUAAAGAAGAAGAGGCAAGCUUUGAGAACACUCUAGCGAAGGGAUAUGAGAGAUUUAGGAAAGCUGCAGAUGCUGUCAAGGAGAAUGGCGGGGCAAUACUUAGUGGCCAGGCAAUAUUUGCACUACAUUAUAGUCAAUCAUUUGUUAGCUGCAGGUAAAUAUAUGACCUUUGCAUUGUUGAAUUACAGGACACCUACGAGAAUGUGGUUCAGAAACAUAGUAAGUUAAAGAAGAAGGUCGGUCACUGAAGGAUAAGUAUGAUAAACAGAAGUGUCACAACUCAAGGGCGGAGGCCGACAUUGACCGGGGCCUGCUUGAGCUGAGGGCUAGGGCGAGGGACAUGACGGCGUCACAACUCAAGGCGGCGGCUGCCAUCGAUCAAGUGUGGCUCGUCGGGGCUGCUCGCUGUGUUUCGUCGCAGCUGCAGGCCGCGAGAUCAGGCCGGGAAGGCGCCACACAUCGACGAGUGAGCCAAUUUUGGGUCGGACCAUAACAACGUAUCUCAGUCUCCGACGUUUAGAAGUAGUGGUGAUGUUUUGAAUUUGCAUGGCAAGAAUCACUUACGUAGGUAGCUGUAGGUAGCUGACAAGGUAGCUGACACACACAAUAUUGUGUUUACAAUCUUACUUAUGUAAAAGAUAUGAAUUAUACACGCGUUGCCAUUACAAUGAGUU